Molecule: ribosomal RNA, 355 nt
Filed under: Selaroides leptolepis (yellowstripe scad)
Lineage: Eukaryota; Metazoa; Chordata; Actinopteri; Carangiformes; Carangidae
Description: partial 12S ribosomal RNA
Rfam family: Bacterial small subunit ribosomal RNA
Source: RNAcentral
AGCUUUUCCCGCCUAUAUACCACCGUCGCCAGCUUACCCUGUGAAGGACUAACAGUAAGCACAAUCGGCACAGCCCAGAACGUCAGGUCGAGGUGUAGUGCAUGGGAGGGGAAGAAAUGGGCUACAUUCGCUGCCUCCAGCGAACACGAAUGAUGCAUUGAAACAUGCAACUGAAGGAGGAUUUAGCAGUAAGCAGGAAGUAGAGCGUCCCGCUGAAGCCGGCUCUUAAGCGCGCACACACCGCCCGUCACCCUCUCCGAGCAGCUGGCCCUGAAUUUUUCUUAAACCAUUACAAUCGCGAAGGAGAGGAAAGUCGUAACAUGGUAAGCGUACCGGAAGGUGCGCUUGGUUAAAU